This 527-nucleotide ribosomal RNA is filed under the name uncultured bacterium. Its description in RNAcentral is "bacterial SSU rRNA". It matches the Rfam family "Bacterial small subunit ribosomal RNA", at positions 777 to 1304 of the family's 1533-position model. The record is from RNAcentral.
AAUAGAUACCCAGGUAGUCCACGCCGUAAACGAUGAGUGCUAGGUGUUAGGGGGUUUCCGCCCCUUAGUGCUGCAGCUAACGCAUUAAGCACUCCGCCUGGGGAGUACGGUCGCAAGACUGAAACUCAAAGGAAUUGACGGGGGCCCGCACAAGCGGUGGAGCAUGUGGUUUAAUUCGAAGCAACGCGAAGAACCUUACCAGGUCUUGACAUCCCGCUGACCGCCAUGGAGACAUGGCCUUCCCUUCGGGGACAGCGGUGACAGGUGGUGCAUGGUUGUCGUCAGCUCGUGUCGUGAGAUGUUGGGUUAAGUCCCGCAACGAGCGCAACCCUUGUCCUUAGUUGCCAUCAUUCAGUUGGGCACUCUAAGGAGACUGCCGUACAAAUACGGAGGAAGGUGGGGAUGACGUCAAAUCAUCAUGCCCCUUAUGACCUGGGCUACACACGUGCUACAAUGGGUGGUACAAAGGGCAGCAAACCCGCGAGGGGAGCGAAUCCCAAAAAGCCACUCUCAGUUCGGAUUGCAGG